This 510-nucleotide ribosomal RNA is filed under the name uncultured bacterium. RNAcentral's name for it is "partial 16S ribosomal RNA". It matches the Rfam family "Bacterial small subunit ribosomal RNA", at positions 28 to 507 of the family's 1533-position model. The record is from RNAcentral.
GACGAACGCUGGCGGCGUGCUUAACACAUGCAAGUCGAACGUAGAGCGAUGGAGGCUUCCUUCUAUCAAUCUUAGUGGCGAACGUGUGAGUAACGCGUAAUCAACCUGCACUUCAGUGGGGUACCACAGUUGGAAACGACUUCUAAUACCGCAUACGAUCUAAUCUCGGCGUCCAGGAUAGAAAAAAGGUGGCCUCUACAUGUAAGCUAUCACUGAAGGAGGGGAUUGCGUCUGAUUAGCUAGUUGGUGAGGUAACGGGCCACCAAGGCGAUGCUCAGUAGCCCGUCUGGGGGGAGUAACGGGCAAAUUGGGACCGGGACCACGCCCAGAACUCUAAGGGGGGCAGCAGUGGGGGAUCUUCCGCAAUUGACGAAAGGCUUGACGAGCAAAGGCGGGUGGGUGAUGAAGGCCUUCGGGUUGUAAAGCUCUUUUAAUCGGGAAGAAAGGACUUCUUGAGAAUAGAGAGAAGGAUUGACGGUACCGAAAUAGAAAGCCACGGCUAACUACGUG